GAUGAAGAACGCAGCGAAAUGCGAUAAGUAAUGUGAAUUGCAGAAUUCAGUGAAUCAUCGAAUCUUUGAACGCACAUUGCGCCCGCCAGUAUUCUGGCGGGCAUGCCUGUCCGAGCGUCAUUUCAACCAUCAAGCCCCCGGGCUUGUGUUGGGGACCUGCGGCUGCCCGCAGGCCCUGAAAACCAGUGGCGGGCUCGCUGUCACACCGAGCGUAGUAGCAAUCACCUCGCUCAGGGCGUGCUGCGGGUUCCGGCCGUUAAACAGCCUUACAAAACCCAAGGUUGACCUCGGAUCAGGUAGGAAUACCCGCUGAACUUAAGCAUAUCAAUAAGCGGAGGA
This 339-nucleotide unclassified non-coding RNA is filed under the name soil metagenome. Its description in RNAcentral is "partial contains 5.8S ribosomal RNA, internal transcribed spacer 2, and large subunit ribosomal RNA". The stretch from base 1 to 120 matches the Rfam family "5.8S ribosomal RNA", at positions 35 to 154 of the family's 154-position model. The record is from RNAcentral.